CUACGGGUGGCUGCAGGGAAGAAUAUUGUACAAUGGGGGCAACCCUGAUACAGCAACGCCGCGUGAAGGAAGAAGGCCUUCGGGUUGUAAACUUCUGUGACAGAGGACGAAGAAGAUGACGGUACUCUGAGAGGAAGCUCCGGCAAACUACGUGCCAGCAGCCGCGGUAAUACGUAGGGGGCGAGCGUUGUCCGGAAUCACUGGGCGUAAAGGGCGCGUAGGCGGCCUGUUAAGUUGAAUGUGAAAUCCCCGGGCUCAACCCGGAACCUGCAUUCAAAACUGGCGGGCUUGAGUAUGGUAGAGGAAAGUGGAAUUCCUAGUGUAGCGGUGGAAUGCGUAGAUAUUAGGAGGAACACCAGUGGCGAAGGCGACUUUCUGGGCCAAAACUGACGCUGAGGCGCGAAAGCGUGGGGAGCAAACAGGAUUAGAUACCCUAGUAGUC
RNAcentral lists this ribosomal RNA (442 nucleotides) under uncultured bacterium. RNAcentral describes it as "partial 16S ribosomal RNA". It matches the Rfam family "Bacterial small subunit ribosomal RNA", at positions 339 to 795 of the family's 1533-position model. The record is from RNAcentral.